AGUGCUGGAUGUGAGCCCUCCCCAGCUGUGGCCUGAUAGAGAUGGUAAGCCCUACAAGAUUCCACAUUAAUUGCUUGACAGUGGCUUCACAGAUCUGCCUGGUGAAGGAAUCCCCCAGCAGCAGGGGAGCUGCGCCUUCGUCUCACUUCCAGCUGAUGGUAGAGCUCAACUGGUGGGAGUUUAUCAGCAAGUUCACAAUCUUGGGCUGCUGAGCCUACUCUGAAUUAUAUAGAAAACCUUGC
Molecule: long non-coding RNA, 242 nt
Filed under: Calidris pugnax (ruff)
Lineage: Eukaryota; Metazoa; Chordata; Aves; Charadriiformes; Scolopacidae
Description: lncRNA (ENSCPUG00000011927.1)
Source: RNAcentral